AUCAUGUAGGGGACUUGUGGGGAAUGCUUUGGGUUGUCGUAUGCAAUCAUCCAAUUCAAUAACGUUAGGAAAAAUCUGAAGGUUAAUUUAAGCGGACCUAAUUAACUUGGGGCAUUGAGAAUUCAUGGGUUAUUGAAAAGCAAUUGGAAAUCGUUUUGAAUACAAGUCUAACAUGUGUGGAGAUGAACCCCUUAGCUAGCUUUCUAUCCAUUCAAUUCAAUCAAAUUCGUUUUAAAAUCUGUUUUGAUUUACAAGUUUAUGUUUUGUUUUCAAUUUCGUAAAAACCAAAUCCCCCUUUGUUUUCAGUGUCAAAUUAGUUAGAGAGUGUGUUAGUUUGUGUUUUUAAGUGUUUUGAGUCAAGGUAAAACCUAUUUUCGUCAAAAUCUUGUUUAGAGUUCAAAACUGCCCAGAAAGUGGUUUUAAGGCA
This 427-nucleotide long non-coding RNA is filed under the name Malus domestica (apple). RNAcentral's name for it is "long non-coding RNA (MDOM_LNC005673)". The record is from RNAcentral. Lineage: Eukaryota; Viridiplantae; Streptophyta; Magnoliopsida; Rosales; Rosaceae.